This 67-nucleotide transfer RNA is filed under the name Ophiomastix mixta. RNAcentral describes it as "tRNA-Trp". The record is from RNAcentral. Lineage: Eukaryota; Metazoa; Echinodermata; Ophiuroidea; Amphilepidida; Ophiocomidae.
UGGGGUUUAGGUUACACAAACCGGCUACCUUCAAAGCAGCAAACAAGUAAUUUAUACUUAACCCUAG